UACGUAGGGGGCAAGCGUUGUCCGGAUUUAUUGGGCGUAAAGAGCGUGUAGGCGGCCUGACAGGUCUGCUGUGAAAACUCGAGGCUCAACCUCGAGAUGUCGGCGGAAACCGUCUGGCUAGAGUCCGGAAGAGGAGAGUGGAAUUCCUGGUGUAGCGGUGAAAUGCGCAGAUAUCAGGAAGAACACCUAUGGCGAAGGCAAUCCCCUGGGCCUGCACUGACGCUCAUGCACGAAAGCGUGGGGAGCAAACAGG
RNAcentral lists this ribosomal RNA (253 nucleotides) under uncultured bacterium. Its description in RNAcentral is "partial 16S ribosomal RNA". It matches the Rfam family "Bacterial small subunit ribosomal RNA", at positions 524 to 776 of the family's 1533-position model. The record is from RNAcentral.